This 475-nucleotide ribosomal RNA is filed under the name uncultured bacterium. Its description in RNAcentral is "SSU rRNA". It matches the Rfam family "Bacterial small subunit ribosomal RNA", at positions 26 to 518 of the family's 1533-position model. The record is from RNAcentral.
AGGACGAACGCUGGCGGCGUGCUUAACACAUGCAAGUCGAGCGGAAAGGCCCUUCGGGGUACUCGAGCGGCGAACGGGUGAGUAACACGUGAGCAACCUGCCCCUGGCUCUGGGAUAGCCUCCGGAAACGGGGAUUAAUACCGGACAUUCACUUUCUUCCGCAUGGUCGGGAGUGGAAAGUUUUUCGGCCAGGGAGGGGCUCGCGGCCUAUCAGCUUGUUGGCGGGGUAACGGCCCACCAAGGCGACGACGGGUAGCCGGCCUGAGAGGGGCGACCGGGCCAACGACUGGGACUGGAGACACGGCCCAGACUCCUACGGGAGGCAGCAGUGGGGAAUAUGCGCAAUGGGCGAAAGCCUGACGCAGCGACGCCGCGUGGGGGAUGAAGGCCUUCGGGUUGUAAACCCCUUUCACCAGGAGCGAAUCCAGACGGUACCUGGGGAAGAAGCGCCGGCUAACUACGUGCCAGCAGCCGC